This 789-nucleotide long non-coding RNA is filed under the name Olea europaea subsp. europaea. Lineage: Eukaryota; Viridiplantae; Streptophyta; Magnoliopsida; Lamiales; Oleaceae. The record is from RNAcentral.
AGAAUACCUGCUACAAAUUAUAGUGAUAAAGAAAGAAAUUAUAUAGCUAGAGGAAAAGUUAGACCCUUAGAACCUAAAAUAGAAUUUCAGACACCUCAUAAACCACAAUUAUUAAAUAUUACAGCACAUGAUCCCCAGACUUGGAAUAAUACAAUAGAAGUUUGGAAGAAUACGAUUUUAGGUCAUUAUAUUAGGUUAGCAGAUAAUAUGGAACCAUUAGAAAUGUAUAGAUAUUUAGAAACUUUUUUAGGAGAAAGUACUAAAGCUACAUGGGAAGCCUAUAAAAGAGAUAAACAAUCAGAAUUUGAAGCAUUAGUAUUAUUAGGAAAUAAUCCUUAUAAUUUCUUUAGUAAAAUACAUGAAUUACUAACAGGAGCAGACCCUAAUACAGGACACUUAAUAAUUCAAAAUAAAGCUAUAAGAAACUUAGAACAACUUAGUUUAAAUAGAUGGACUAAUGGUAAAGAAGUUAAACAAUUUUUAAAUGAAUAUUAUUAUUUAGUUUCUAUUUCAGGAAAUACUUUUAAUCAAGAAUUAGGUAAGAAAUUAUUUCAUAAAUUACUAGGACCCUUAGGAUUAGAAAUAACAAAGAAAUGGAAUGAAAAUAAAAGUGUUAAAGAAAGACCAGAUUCAUUAUGGAGUAUAGGAAUUAGAACACAAUUUAUAAUGCAAUGUUUAGAAGAAAAAUGUAUUGAAUUACAAAUACAGAAUCAACUUAAAAAAAUAGAUUAUAAAUUUUGUAAAGAUAUUUAUACACCUCAGACUUAUGGAAAUAAGUUUAAAGAAAAA